CUCCAGACUCCUAAGGGAGGCAGCAGUGGGGCCUCUUGCACAAUGGGCGCAAGCCUGAUGCCGCCAUGCCGCGUGUAUGAAGAAGGCCUUCGGGUUGUAACGUACUUUCAGCGGGGAGGAAGGCGAUACGGUUAAUAACCUUGUCGAUUGACGUUACCCGCAGAAGAAGCACCGGCUAACUCCGUGCCAGCAGCCGCGGUAAUACGGAGGGUGCAAGCGUUAAUCGGAAUUACUGGGCGUAAAGCGCACGCAGGCGGUCUGUCAAGUCGGAUGUGAAAUCCCCGGGCUCAACCUGGGAACUGCAUUCGAAGCUGGCAGGCUGGAGUCUUGUAGAGGGGGGUAGAAUUCGAGGUGUAGCGGUGAAAUGCGUAGAGAUCUGGAGGAAUACCGGUGGCGAAGGCGGCCCCCUGGACAAAGACUGACGCUCAGGUGCGAAAGCGUGGGGAGCAAACAGGAUUAGAUACCCUAGUA
Molecule: ribosomal RNA, 471 nt
Filed under: uncultured bacterium
Lineage: Bacteria
Description: bacterial SSU rRNA
Rfam family: Bacterial small subunit ribosomal RNA
Source: RNAcentral